This 431-nucleotide ribosomal RNA is filed under the name uncultured bacterium. Its description in RNAcentral is "partial 16S ribosomal RNA". It matches the Rfam family "Bacterial small subunit ribosomal RNA", at positions 29 to 507 of the family's 1533-position model. The record is from RNAcentral.
AACGAACGCUGGCGGCAGGCUUAACACAUGCAAGUCGAACGCCCCGCAAGGGGAGUGGCCGACGGGUGAGUAACGCGUGGGAACAUACCCUUUUCUACGGAAUAGCUCUGGGAAACUGGAAUUAAUACCGUAUACGCCCUACGGGGGAAAGAUUUAUCGGGGAAGGAUUGGCCCGCGUUGGAUUAGCGAGUUGGUGGGGUAAAGGCCUACCAAGGCGACGAUCCAUAGCUGGUCUGAGAGGAUGAUCAGCCACAUUGGGACUGAGACACGGCCCAAACUCCUACGGGAGGCAGCAGUGGGGAAUAUUGGACAAUGGGCGCAAGCCUGAUCCAGCCAUGCCGCGUGAGUGAUGAAGGCCUUAGGGUUGUAAAGCUCUUUCACCGAUGAAGAUAAUGACGGUAGUCGGAGAAGAAGCCCCGGCUAACUUCGUG